Molecule: ribosomal RNA, 253 nt
Filed under: uncultured bacterium
Lineage: Bacteria
Description: partial 16S ribosomal RNA
Rfam family: Bacterial small subunit ribosomal RNA
Source: RNAcentral
UACGUAGGGGGCAAGCGUUGUCCGGAAUCAUUGGGCGUAAAGAGCGUGUAGGCGGCCCGGUAAGUCCGCUGUGAAAGUCCAGGGCUCAACCCUGGAAUGCCGGUGGAAACUGUCGGGCUGGAGUCCGGAAGAGGCGAGUGGAAUUCCUGGUGUAGCGGUGAAAUGCGCAGAUAUCAGGAGGAACACCAAUGGCGAAGGCAGCUCGCUGGGACGGUACUGACGCUGAGACGCGAAAGCGUGGGGAGCAAACAGG